This 253-nucleotide ribosomal RNA is filed under the name uncultured bacterium. Its description in RNAcentral is "partial 16S ribosomal RNA". It matches the Rfam family "Bacterial small subunit ribosomal RNA", at positions 524 to 776 of the family's 1533-position model. The record is from RNAcentral.
UACAGAGGUCCCGAGCGUUGUUCGGAUUUAUUGGGCGUAAAGGGUGCGUAGGCGGCGGAGUAAGUUGGGUGUGAAAUCCCGGGGCUCAACCUCGGAAUGGCAUUCAAUACUGCUUCGCUCGAGUACUGGAGAGGAGGCUGGAAUUCUCGGUGUAGCAGUGAAAUGCGUAGAUCUCGAGAGGAACACCAGUGGCGAAGGCGGCAUCCUGGACCAAUACUGACACUGAGGAGCGAAAGCCAGGGGAGCAAACGGG